Molecule: non-coding RNA, 109 nt
Organism: Pseudonaja textilis
Lineage: Eukaryota; Metazoa; Chordata; Lepidosauria; Squamata; Elapidae
Source: RefSeq, a predicted model, not a curated record
CGAAAGUGGGGGCUGAUAGAAGCGGUUGUGCUAUCGGCUGAGUACGGUAGCUGAAAUAGAUUUGCAGGUGCCUGUAGGUGGUACUACCUGAAAGUCAAUAAAGAAAAUG